GAGGCUUUGCUGGGUGCUUGGAUCUCUGCAAGGUCCAAUGAGCAUCUCAGAAUGUAUGAGGACUGGGAGAGGAGAAAGAAAAUGGGACCAGAGAAGCAACUCACCCAACUGUUCUGUCUUGUUCUGGGCAUCUUUCUCAAGGGUGGGUGGCUCGGCUAGGGGGGUGACAGGAGCCUUCCCUGUGUAGAAUGGGGGAGAGUCAGCUUAAAGAGGUGAAGCAUCAGGGAAGGCAGAGGAAGCAGGGCAAGCAGCCAGUCAGUGAAGAGAGAAUGGAUGGGUAAAUCAACAGGCAAGUGAGGACAAAAAGUCCCCAGAAGAAAUCAUCAUCCAGAGGGUAAAAGGAAAAAUUAUAGUCAUGGAACUCGUAAGGUCUAAGAGAUAAUCUUGUGUCAGUCCUGUCCCCUUAUCCUUUUAUAGGAAUAAGCCCUACAAUAGGCAACAGAAACUGGACUACAUCGGGAUCCCCUGUCUUGACUCACUCUGGAAGCAGGGAACCCCAAAAAUAUAGUGGGAGGGGCACUCAGGAGGGAAGCUGAAGUUGAAUGGGAGUGGCAUUGGUGGUGGGCAGGAGGCAGCAGGCCUAGCUGGGAGAGGAGAUUACCACUCAAGUAAGAAUUGACAGAUGUGUAGGAAUUUAUUUUCAGUGGCAGCCUAAUUAAAGUGUUAAAGUUCCUUAACUCCAUUCAGCCCUGCACCAGGAUCGUUUGCUAUUGAUCUGGGCCCCUCCAGCACUUAACUCCAGCCAGCAUAUUGGCAAUUCAAUUAGCACCAGUCAAUGCUGCCUGUUCCCGGUUCCCGCUGCCCGUGUCCUCACCGUCGCCCACUGCUGGCCUCUCCAAAGCCCGAAGCCCAUGCCCACCUCUGUCUGACAGCCCCUUCCAGGCUCUUCUGCACCCUCUGGAUCAAUGACGCCUGGCUGGCUGUUUCCGGCCUUUGCUGGUACAGCCUCAGCUGCCUAAGGGGGACUCUAAGCCCAGCCUUAGGGCUGAAGACUUCCUACGAGACAGGAAGAGGCUGGGAAGCUUAUCAGGGCCUCUUCCCAACUCUGCUGCCUUUGGACUAUGCCCACAGCUCCCUUCCAACUCCUGGCUCAGCAAGAAUCAGGAGUCCGGAGCUGCCCAUGGCUGAAGCUUAGGAUGCUUUGAAGAGCUGAGAGUCCUUCCUCAGCUGUUGGGCUGUUCUGUAGCAGCUGCAGACGCCUCUGGGCUUGGGCGUCCCGGUGGGCAGCAGAAACUAGAAUCAUGGGAAGAGGCUGACACUCAGACCCUGAAGGGACACGGCCAGAUCACAGGAGACUGCGCUUCCCCCAAGGGAGCCUCACCCUCGCCCACCCUGUGCUUCCUCCCCGGGCCCUCGUUUCCCUCUUGUGACUACCUAAGUAUCAAUGCUUGGACUGGACAAGGCUCUCGCCUAGUAUGUGAAUGGAAUCUAUUCCCAUCUUUCUGAACUUCGGGUGACAGGAUGGACUGAGCUGACAUAGACUUCUCCCUCCAGCCCCAAAUACCAGAAGAGCUGAAUAAAGUCUUUGUUUCAUUUUC
This is a non-coding RNA of Heterocephalus glaber (naked mole-rat), 1538 nucleotides long. The record is from RefSeq and is a predicted model, not a curated record. Lineage: Eukaryota; Metazoa; Chordata; Mammalia; Rodentia; Bathyergidae.